UAUCCUGUAUGUAACAGGUAAGUAUUGGGUAUGCAUGCUGUACAUACCAGGUAAGUAUUAGGUAAGUAUCCUGUAUGUACCAGGUAAGUAUUAGGUAUGUAUCCUGUAUGUAACAGGUAAGUAUUGGGUAUGCAUGCUGUACGUACCAGGUAAGUAUUAGGUAAGUAUCCUGUAUGUACCAGGUAAGUAUUAGGUAUGUAUCCUGUAUGUAACAGGUAAGUAUUGGGUAUGCAUGCUGUACGUACCAGGUAAGUAUUAGGUAUGUAUCCUGUAUGUAACAGGUAAGUAUUAGGUAUGCAUCCUGUAUGUACCAGGUAAGUAUUAGGUAUGUAUCCUGUAUGUAACAGGUAAGUAUUAGGUAUGCAUGCUGUACGUACCAGGUAAGUAUUAGGUAAGUAUCCUGUAUGUACCAGGUAAGUAUUAGGUAUGUAUCCUGUAUGUAUCAGGUAAGUAUUGGGUAUGCAUGCUGUACAUACCAGGUAAGUAUUGGGUAUGCAUCCUGUACAUACCAGGUAAGUAUUGGGUAUGCAUCCUGUACAUACCAGGUA
Molecule: long non-coding RNA, 548 nt
Organism: Austrofundulus limnaeus
Lineage: Eukaryota; Metazoa; Chordata; Actinopteri; Cyprinodontiformes; Rivulidae
Exons: 3
Source: RefSeq, a predicted model, not a curated record